UGUUCAAUGGAUUUGAAGUACUUGGGAACU
This 30-nucleotide non-coding RNA is filed under the name Mus musculus (house mouse). Lineage: Eukaryota; Metazoa; Chordata; Mammalia; Rodentia; Muridae. The record is from RNAcentral.